Hordeum vulgare subsp. vulgare (domesticated barley) is the source of this 1186-nucleotide long non-coding RNA. RefSeq lists it as uncharacterized. The transcript is spliced from 2 exons. Lineage: Eukaryota; Viridiplantae; Streptophyta; Magnoliopsida; Poales; Poaceae. The record is from RefSeq and is a predicted model, not a curated record.
GUUAAAUGUAUAGCAGCAUUAUAGACGGUCAAAGUCGGACGUUUUCGAUUUACAAAAAACAAUCACGGGCCAAACCAUUUCACUUUCAUCUCAGCCCAAGAUCCUCCUACACACCCUACACAACCCACCUAGCCUACCCCUCCAUUUCGAACCGCCCGAUUAAUCCGACGGUAAGAAAACUCCUAACCCUAGCCCCCUUCCCUAUUUAAGCACACCGCCCCCACCUAAUUCGGCUGAACCCAAGAUUUCUGUGCGGCCCUAACCAGCAGUCAGCACCCAACCUCCACAUCUCCCACGUCCUCUCUCCCACCCGCCGAAGUCGCUGAGCCCACAACAGGCCCACUCGGCCCUGGUUCAUCUGUGUUGCCCGCUGCUCCUCGAGCCCGAUCUGGAUCGUCAGAAGCAUGAGCUCCUCUCGCCACCACCUCGUCAGCCCUAGCACCUACCUGCGGCUACGCCAUUACCCCGAGCCGCCGCUCUGACGUCGCCGGCUAGCCGCCUCGCCGUUCCUUCUCAUCGUCAUUGUGGUCGUGCGCCCGACAUCCCUAGCUCCUGUUGUCGUAAAGAUGCACGCUGCCGAAGCCUGCCAAUACCUCGAGCCACCUCAUAGACCACCGCCACCGCCAGCGUGCCUCACCACCGGCCGCCUUCGUGUCUCUGCCACCGGAUCUGGCCAAUCCCUCCUCGUCCCCGUCGUUGAAGUCCCCUCAGCCGCUGCCAUCGGCCUCUUGGUAGCAACCUCGUCUGCCUCAUCCGAGAGCCUGAGCGCCCGCGUGGGCCUCCUGUGCACGUGUCAGCUCCCCUAGCCCACGACGCAAGGUCAAGCCCAGCCGCAGCCAGAUCCGGCCCUGUUUGCAGGAGAAGGCUCGUCGUGCUAGAUCCUAACCAAGCCAGUCCUGCGAGUUAUGGAGCCUAGCCAGGGACGUCGUUGCCAUUGUAUCAAGACAUCUGUUGCCACUUAGUAGCCUUGGAGUUGUGUAAUAUUGUUGUAAGCAAAAGUAUUGUAAUACUCCCUUAUAUUAAUAAAGCCACUUUUGCCUGGAAUUUCGGUAUCAUGUCUUUGGCGCGUGUCCGGUCCUAUCCUGGGGACGAAUGUGCGUCGGCCCUCUAUCAGGGUGCCACAGCUUAGCUGUAGUUUUCAUCAUGUGAACAUGCUAAGAUAAAGUUGUUAUUUGGUAGGGUCAAA